AAUGAACGCUGGCGGCGUGCCUAACACAUGCAAGUCGUACGAGAAAGGGGCUUCGGCCCUGAGUAGAGUGGCGCACGGGUGAGUAACGCGUGGGUAAUCUACCCUUGGAUUUGGGAUAACUCUGCGAAAGUGGAGCUAAUACCGGAUAGUCUGGCUUUAAAUAAGAAGUCGGUAAAGGAUGCCUCUGCAUAUGCAUUCGUCCGAGGAUGAGCCCGCGCCUCAUUAGCUAGUUGGUAGGGUAAUGGCCUACCAAGGCUAGGACGGUUAGCUGGUCUGAGAGGACGACCAGCCACACUGGAACUGAGACACGGUCCAGAUACCUACGGGUGGCUG
RNAcentral lists this ribosomal RNA (333 nucleotides) under uncultured Pseudomonadota bacterium. Its description in RNAcentral is "bacterial SSU rRNA". It matches the Rfam family "Bacterial small subunit ribosomal RNA", at positions 29 to 351 of the family's 1533-position model. The record is from RNAcentral. Lineage: Bacteria; Pseudomonadati; Pseudomonadota.